GGAUGUGAGGGCCACCUGGCUGUGACAUCUGCCACCCCAAAGGUUGACGGCUGUCUGGGUCAGCGCCCCUUCCUGCCUCACUGCUCCACGUGUGCCCCUCCCACAGCUGCACACUGGGUCGCAGAGGACCACCAGCCUUCAAGGAGGACUGGCGCCAUGGCCAGGGGUGUGUGAGUGGCUGCAUUUCUCUGCUAGAACCUCCAAGCACUUAAAAAAUAAGUCUCCCUUCACUGCCCACUGAAUGUGUCCUGAAAUGCUCUCUGUGGCCAAACUCC
This 275-nucleotide small nuclear RNA is filed under the name Octodon degus (degu). RNAcentral describes it as "7SK RNA (ENSODEG00000023772.1)". It matches the Rfam family "7SK RNA". Rfam says of the family: 7SK was discovered as an abundant small nuclear RNA in the mid-70s but a possible function has only recently been suggested. Two independent studies have found that 7SK RNA binds the CDK9/cyclin T complex (known as elongation factor P-TEFb). The record is from Rfam by way of RNAcentral. Lineage: Eukaryota; Metazoa; Chordata; Mammalia; Rodentia; Octodontidae.